AAAGUUGAUCUGCUGAAACGCUUCAGCUUCCCUGGCAGCCAGGAGUCCUGCCCCAGAUCCCGCCCCGCCUCCAACUGAAUAUUGGGGCAGUCAGGCUCGUGCCAGUUGGUCCGUUUUGGCUCUGAACAGUGGUGAAGAAUUUAUUCUUGGAGUCUGGCUGGGCAGCGGCUGGAGGAGUGGAAGUUGCCUGAAACCAGAUGUUCAAAAGAUCUUCACUAAGACGCUAGGAAUGGUGCUUCGCUGCCUUGGAUUUUUCUGACUCUGCCUCCCGCAG
Molecule: long non-coding RNA, 274 nt
Filed under: Phascolarctos cinereus (koala)
Lineage: Eukaryota; Metazoa; Chordata; Mammalia; Diprotodontia; Phascolarctidae
Description: lncRNA (ENSPCIG00000034536.1)
Source: RNAcentral